RNAcentral lists this transfer RNA (72 nucleotides) under Candidatus Omnitrophota bacterium. RNAcentral's name for it is "tRNA-Thr". It matches the Rfam family "tRNA". From Rfam's summary of the family: Transfer RNA (tRNA) molecules are approximately 80 nucleotides in length. Their secondary structure includes four short double-helical elements and three loops (D, anti-codon, and T loops). Further hydrogen bonds mediate the characteristic L-shaped molecular structure. tRNAs have two regions of fundamental functional importance: the anti-codon, which is responsible for specific mRNA codon recognition, and the 3' end, to which the tRNAs corresponding amino acid is attached (by aminoacyl-tRNA synthetases). tRNAs cope with the degeneracy of the genetic code in two manners: having more than one tRNA (with a specific anti-codon) for a particular amino acid; and 'wobble' base-pairing, i.e. permitting non-standard base-pairing at the 3rd anti-codon position. The record is from RNAcentral. Lineage: Bacteria; Pseudomonadati; Candidatus Omnitrophota.
GCCACCUUAACUCAGCGGAAGAGUAGCGCACUUGUAAUGCGCAAGUCCCCGGUUCGAAUCCGGGAGGUGGCU